GAUGAACGCUGGCGGCGUGCCUAAUACAUGCAAGUCGAGCGAACAGACGAGGAGCUUGCCCCUCUGACGUUAGCGGCGGACGGGUGAGUAACACGUGGAUAACCUACCUAUAAGACUGGGAUAACUUCGGGAAACCGGAGCUAAUACCGGAUAAUAUAUUGAACCGCAUGGUUCAAUAGUGAAAGACGGUUUUGCUGUCACUUAUAGAUGGAUCUGCGCCGCAUUAGCUAGUUGGUAAGGUAACGGCUUACCAAGGCGACGAUGCGUAGCCGACCUGAGAGGGUGGUCGGCCACACUGGAACUGAGACACGGUCCAGACUCCUACGGGAGGCAGCAGUAGGGAAUCUUCCGCAAUGGGCGAAAGCCUGGCGGAGCAACGCCGCGUGAGUGAUGAAGGUCUUCGGAUCGUAAAACUCUGUUAUUAGGGAAGAACAAAUGUGUAAGUAACUAUGCACGUCUUGACGGUACCUAAUCAGAAAGCCACGGCUAACUACGUG
This 497-nucleotide ribosomal RNA is filed under the name uncultured bacterium. RNAcentral's name for it is "partial 16S ribosomal RNA". It matches the Rfam family "Bacterial small subunit ribosomal RNA", at positions 28 to 507 of the family's 1533-position model. The record is from RNAcentral.